GACGAACGCUGGCGGCGUGCUUAACACAUGCAAGUCGAACGGAAAGGCCCUGCUUUUGUGGGGUGCUCGAGUGGCGAACGGGUGAGUAACACGUGAGUAACCUGCCCUUGACUUUGGGAUAACUUCAGGAAACUGGGGCUAAUACCGGAUAGGAGCUCCUGCUGCAUGGUGGGGGUUGGAAAGUUUCGGCGGUUGGGGAUGGACUCGCGGCUUAUCAGCUUGUUGGUGGGGUAGUGGCUUACCAAGGCUUUGACGGGUAGCCGGCCUGAGAGGGUGACCGGCCACAUUGGGACUGAGAUACGGCCCAGACUCCUACGGGAGGCAGCAGUGGGGAAUAUUGCACAAUGGGCGGAAGCCUGAUGCAGCAACGCCGCGUGCGGGAUGACGGCCUUCGGGUUGUAAACCGCUUUCGCCUGUGACGAAGCGUGAGUGACGGUAAUGGGUAAAGAAGCACCGGCUAACUACGUGCCAGCAGCCGCGGUGAUACGUAGGGUGCGAGCGUUGUCCGGAUUUAUUGGGCGUAAAGGGCUCGUAGGUGGUUGAUCGCGUCGGAAGUGUAAUCUUGGGGCUUAACCCUGAGCGUGCUUUCGAUACGGGUUGACUUGAGGAAGGUAGGGGAGAAUGGAAUUCCUGGUGGAGCGGUGGAAUGCGCAGAUAUCAGGAGGAACACCAGUGGCGAAGGCGGUUCUCUGGGCCUUUCCUGACGCUGAGGAGCGAAAGCGUGGGGAGCGAACAGGCUUAGAUACCCUGGUAGUCCACGCUGUAAACGGUGGGUACUAGGUGUGGGGUCCAUUCCACGGGUUCCGUGCCGUAGCUAACGCUUUAAGUACCCCGCCUGGGGAGUACGGCCGCAAGGCUAAAACUCAAAGGAAUUGACGGGGCCCCGCACAAGCGGCGGAGCAUGCGGAUUAAUUCGAUGCAACGCGUAGAACCUUACCUGGGUUUGACAUGGGUCGGGAGUGCUCAGAGAUGGGUGUGCCUCUUUUGGGGUCGGUUCACAGGUGGUGCAUGGCUGUCGUCAGCUCGUGUCGUGAGAUGUUGGGUUAAGUCCCGCAACGAGCGCAACCCUUGUUCACUGUUGCCAGCACGUUAUGGUGGGGACUCAGUGGAGACCGCCGGGGUCAACUCGGAGGAAGGUGGGGAUGACGUCAAGUCAUCAUGCCCCUUAUGUCCAGGGCUUCACGCAUGCUACAAUGGCUGGUACAGAGAGUGGCGAGCCUGUGAGGGUGAGCGAAUCUCGGAAAGUCGGUCUCAGUUCGGAUUGGGGUCUGCAACUCGACCUCAUGAAGUCGGAGUCGCUAGUAAUCGCAGAUCAGCAACGCUGCGGUGAAUACGUUCCCGGGGCU
This 1346-nucleotide ribosomal RNA is filed under the name uncultured bacterium. Its description in RNAcentral is "partial 16S ribosomal RNA". It matches the Rfam family "Bacterial small subunit ribosomal RNA", at positions 28 to 1381 of the family's 1533-position model. The record is from RNAcentral.